This 957-nucleotide ribosomal RNA is filed under the name Niphargus sp. ND066. RNAcentral's name for it is "partial large subunit ribosomal RNA". The record is from RNAcentral. Lineage: Eukaryota; Metazoa; Arthropoda; Malacostraca; Amphipoda; Niphargidae.
AAGGCUUCAGUACGACCCAGUCAGAACUAUAAGUCUCAAAGCCCCGACGAGUAGGGUGGCGUGCCGGUGCGCGUUGAAGGCCAAGACGUGAGUCAGGCUGGAGCCGCCGGUAGUGCAGAUCUUGGUGGUAGUAGCAAGUACUCUGGUGAACCAACCUGGAGCUGUGAGGUCUGGAUCAGGGUUCCAUGUCAACAGUGAUUGAACAUGGGUGAGUCGAUCCUAAGCCAACUGUGAAAGCAGUGACAUCCCGACAAUGGGGCAUUACGUGCGCCGCACUUACACCCCCAUACCAAAGCUCUCGAGUAUCUUUCUCUCAGGCUGCAGGGUACCAAAAAAGCGCACACACGCUGAUCACUACGAGAGUAGAUGUGAGUGUGUGCGCGGCUAUAGAUGCGCUCUUUAGCGUAGGCGACAACAAAAAAGAGAGAGAGAGAAAGAGAGUGGGUGAGCGUGAGAUAAUGUAAUUGCAUGGCCCCUGCGUCUGGUUCUAUGUCUGGCGAAAGGGAAUGGGGACUUUGUUCCUUGACCGGUCCCGGCACCCUCGAUUGGCUCUGCCAAUUAAUGGUCCAUGCAAAUGGAACCAGGCCACAGCCGCCGGCAGUCGCCCGAGGAAGAGUUUUCUUUUCUGCUUAACGCACGAGGUCAUCCCUGGAAACAGUUCGGCUGGCGAAAGGGUGCCCCGUUGCGGCAGAGCGCCACGACUGUCGUGCGCGUCUCGGUGUUCCUGCCGGUCCGUGAAGACGUGGUCGAGGGGAUUGCUCUUGUAUCAACGAAACGCCCGACAAGUUCGGGACGGACCGUACCCUAUAUCCGCAUCUGGUCUCCAAGGUUCGUAGCCUCUGCARAGUCAGACACAUGUARGUAAGGGAAGUCGGCAAACUCGAUCCGUAACUUCGGGAAAARGAUUGGCUCUGAGGGCCGAGCUGGGCCGGGCCUUGCCUGCAAAGCAGUACCUAU